RNAcentral lists this ribosomal RNA (771 nucleotides) under uncultured bacterium. Its description in RNAcentral is "bacterial SSU rRNA". It matches the Rfam family "Bacterial small subunit ribosomal RNA", at positions 63 to 824 of the family's 1533-position model. The record is from RNAcentral.
CGAGGGGCAGCGGGGAGGUAGCAAUACUUCCGCCGGCGACCGGCGCACGGGUGAGUAACACGUAUGGAACCUGCCCGUAGCAGGGGGAUAAGCGGAAGAAAUUCCGUCUAAUACCGCGUAAUAACUCCGAGAGGCAUCUCUUGGGGUUUAAAGGGUAACACCGGCUACGGAUGGCCAUGCGGCGCAUUAGCUAGUUGGCGGGGUAACGGCCCACCAAGGCGACGAUGCGUAGGGGUUCUGAGAGGAAGGUCCCCCACACUGGUACUGAGACACGGACCAGACUCCUACGGGAGGCAGCAGUGAGGAAUAUUGGUCAAUGGGCGCGAGCCUGAACCAGCCAAGUCGCGUGAGGGAAGACGGUCCUAUGGAUUGUAAACCUCUUUUGUCGGGGAGCAAAAGACGUCACGUGUGGCGUUCCGAGAGUACCCGAAGAAAAAGCAUCGGCUAACUCCGUGCCAGCAGCCGCGGUAAUACGGAGGAUGCGAGCGUUAUCCGGAUUUAUUGGGUUUAAAGGGUGCGCAGGCGGAAGAUCAAGUCAGCGGUAAAAUUGAGAGGCUCAACCUCUUCGAGCCGUUGAAACUGGUUUUCUUGAGUGAGCGAGAAGUAUGCGGAAUGCGUGGUAUAGCGGUGAAAUGCAUAGAUAUCACGCAGAACUCCGAUUGCGAAGGCAGCAUACCGGCGCUCAACUGACGCUCAUGCACGAAAGCGUGGGUAUCGAACAGGAUUAGAUACCCUGGUAGUCCACGCAGUAAACGAUGAAUACUAACUGUC